Molecule: ribosomal RNA, 253 nt
Filed under: uncultured bacterium
Lineage: Bacteria
Description: partial 16S ribosomal RNA
Rfam family: Bacterial small subunit ribosomal RNA
Source: RNAcentral
UACGGAGGGUGCAAGCGUUAUCCGGAUUUACUGGGUUUAAAGGGUGCGUAGGUGGGUAGGCAAGUCAGUGGUGAAAUCUUCGGGCUUAACCCGGAAACUGCCAUUGAUACUAUUUAUCUUGAAUACUUUGGAGGUAAGCGGAAUAUGUCAUGUAGCGGUGAAAUGCUUAGAUAUGACAUAGAACACCAAUUGCGCAGGCAGCUUACUACACAGUAAUUGACACUGAGGCACGAAAGCGUGGGGAUCAAACAGG